Non-coding RNA from Triticum urartu, 654 nucleotides. NCBI's taxonomy places the organism in Eukaryota, Viridiplantae, Streptophyta, Magnoliopsida, Poales, Poaceae. The record is from RefSeq and is a predicted model, not a curated record.
UCCUCGUGCUCUCCGCCUGUCUCUCUCCAAGCUUCCGCUCUUUCUUCAUUCGUUGGCCCCUCCCCUCUCCCUCCGGUGUCCUUGUUCUUGGUGUCCUCUUUGCAUUAGAUCUGGUUCCUCCAUAUCAGUUCGUUCGGGUGCAUGGCAAAUUUUGAUCUGAUGCAUGUUUGAAGGCUCCACCCUCUUGGCAUCAAAGGCCUCUCUCCCAGAUGGUUCUCUUUCCAUCUCUUGCAUCUGGGUGAGGUCGAUCUUCUGGAUGCCCCCUCAUGGCGUUGAGGCGUUCUGUUGCCAGAGCAUUGCAAUGUGUAGCACACAGCCACCCACAGCAGAGAGCUCACCGAGCAACCAUGGUGCCACCAGACUGUCGCCGUUCUGCGGGGCCAAAGCCGCGCAGCUGCGUCCGUCAGUCGUUCUCGACAGAGGGCCACGAGCAGAGCCCUGUCACGGGAAGUCGGAUGGCUCCACCGUGGUCUGGCCGGUGGUGCCGCCCGGACUCCUCACUUCCUGGCAAGUCGGAUGGCUCCACCGUGGUUAUUUUUCUGUCCUCCUUCAUUUGUACAAUUCCUAAGCCUUGGGAUGAUUCAUCUUUCCGUCCUCCUUUUCUUUGUACAAUUCCUAAGCCUUGAGAUGAUUCAUCUUGAUUCGAUUCUUUCU